UUGGAGGGCAAGUCUGGUGCCAGCAGCCGCGGUAAUUCCAGCUCCAAUAGCGUAUAUUAAAGUUGUUGCAGUUAAAAAGCUCGUAGUUGAAUUUCGGAAUCUGUCCGUCGGUCGGGCUUCAUUGUCCGUACUGGUGUGAUGGGUUUCUACCUUCUGAAUAAUCGGCAUGUCAUUAAUUUGGUGCGCCGGGGAAGCAGAACUAUUACCUUGAAAAAAUUAGAGUGCUUAAAGCAGGCUACCGCCUGAAUAGAUUAGCAUGGAAUAAUAAAAUAGGACGGCAUGGUUCUAUUUUGUUGGUUUCUAGGAUCACCGUAAUGAUUAAUAGGGAUAGUUGGGGGCAUUAGUAUUCAAUUGUCAGAGGUGAAAUUCUUGGAUUUAUUGAAGACUAACUUCUGCGAAAGCAUUUGCCAAGGAUGUUUUCAUUAAUCAAGAACGAAAGUUAGGGGAUCGAAGACGAUCAGAUACCGCCGUAGUCUUAACCAUAAACUAUGCCGACUAGGGAUCGGACGAUGUUAAUUUUUUAAUGACUCGUUCGGCGCCUUACGGGAAAC
RNAcentral lists this ribosomal RNA (551 nucleotides) under uncultured Acaulospora. RNAcentral's name for it is "SSU rRNA". It matches the Rfam family "Eukaryotic small subunit ribosomal RNA", at positions 548 to 1098 of the family's 1831-position model. Lineage: Eukaryota; Fungi; Glomeromycota; Glomeromycetes; Diversisporales; Acaulosporaceae. The record is from RNAcentral.